RNAcentral lists this ribosomal RNA (526 nucleotides) under bacterium SC5. RNAcentral describes it as "bacterial SSU rRNA". It matches the Rfam family "Bacterial small subunit ribosomal RNA", at positions 366 to 901 of the family's 1533-position model. The record is from RNAcentral.
GCACAAUGGGCGGAAGCCUGAUGCAGCGACGCCGCGUGGGGGAUGACGGCCUUCGGGUUGUAAACUCCUUUCGACAGGGACGAAGCUUUUUGUGACGGUACCUGUAUAAGAAGCACCGGCUAACUACGUGCCAGCAGCCGCGGUAAUACGUAGGGUGCGAGCGUUGUCCGGAAUUACUGGGCGUAAAGAGCUCGUAGGUGGUUUGUCGCGUCGUCUGUGAAAUUCCGGGGCUUAACUUCGGGCGUGCAGGCGAUACGGGCAUAACUUGAGUGCUGUAGGGGAGACUGGAAUUCCUGGUGUAGCGGUGAAAUGCGCAGAUAUCAGGAGGAACACCGAUGGCGAAGGCAGGUCUCUGGGCAGUUACUGACGCUGAGGAGCGAAAGCAUGGGUAGCAAACAGGAUUAGAUACCCUGGUAGUCCAUGCCGUAAACGGUGGGCGCUAGGUGUAGGGGGCUUCCACGUCUUCUGUGCCGUAGCUAACGCAUUAAGCGCCCCGCCUGGGGAGUACGGCCGCAAGGCUAAAACU